UCGGUCGGACGGAUGGUCGCCGCUUUUGGAAAGGAUGAAUGAUGAACGAUGAACGAUGAAUGGAAAACAAGCAGUGUCUUUGAUUCAUCGUUCAUUGUUCAUCAUUCAUCCUUUCCAAAGGGGGAGGAAAGUCCGGGCUCCAAAGGGCGCGGUGGUGGAUAACGUCCACCCCCGGUAACGGUUCGGGCUCCCCGGCCUGAAUCGCCAGCGGGCGGGAAAGUGCAACAGAAAGUAAACCGCCCUUGGGGAAGGAUGAAUUUUGAAGGAUGAAGGAUGAAUCAAAGACAUUGUUUGUUUUCCAUUCAACCUUCAUCCUUCAAAAUUCAUCCUUCCCCAAGGGUAAGGGUGAAACGGUGCGGGGCGAAAGCCCUUAAUGUAAGAGCGCACCAGCGGCGAGGUGACUCGUCGGCUCGGUAAACCCCACCGGGAGCAAGGUCAAACAGGAGACAGGGUCGGCCCGACCCGUUACGAUCUCCGGGUAGACUGCUUGAUCCCACGGGCAACCGUGGGGCUAGAUAAAUGACCGUCGCCCGUUCGCAAGGACGGGGACAAAACCCGGCUUACAGGCCGGCCGACAGA
Molecule: RNase P RNA, 579 nt
Filed under: Planctomycetaceae bacterium
Lineage: Bacteria; Pseudomonadati; Planctomycetota; Planctomycetia; Planctomycetales; Planctomycetaceae
Description: RNase P RNA component class A
Rfam family: Bacterial RNase P class A
About the family: Ribonuclease P (RNase P) is a ubiquitous endoribonuclease, found in archaea, bacteria and eukarya as well as chloroplasts and mitochondria.
Source: RNAcentral